Sapajus apella (tufted capuchin) is the source of this 1527-nucleotide long non-coding RNA. RefSeq lists it as uncharacterized. The transcript is spliced from 2 exons. The record is from RefSeq and is a predicted model, not a curated record. NCBI's taxonomy places the organism in Eukaryota, Metazoa, Chordata, Mammalia, Primates, Cebidae.
GAGCCUCCCUAGUACGUGGGACUACAGGUGUCUGCCACCUCGCCCAGCGAAUUUUUUUUUUUUUUUUAAGUAGAGACAGGGUUUCACCAUGUUGGCCAGGCUGGUCUCUGUGGGGUCAGCCCUGCUAGCGUCGUGGGGUGUCCCCUAUCGCUGUGCUGAGGUGCAGGAUCCGAGGAAUAAAGAGACAAGACACUGAAGGACUGGAAAAGACAGCUAGGCUGGCGGGAGGGGGUGGGAAGUCAUGCCACCUAUGAGCGGAGACAGGCGAGGGCCCCCAAGAGUGUCUGUAUUUAUUGGGUAUAGGUUAAGGGGCAGGGUAGUGAGUGAGGACAUCUUAAGAACAGUGAUAGGGUCAAGACAGUCACGUGUGCAAUAAGCAAAGGGUCCUCACCUAUUAGGUCACUGAGGCAAGGAGGUUGGCCGUGCAUAGUGAAGAGGGUGCAGUGUGCAAUAUCUCUUAUCUAGGGGCAGGCUACUUUUAAGGAAUUCUAUAGAAGGAUGCUUUUGAGUCAGCACAGUAGCCGAAGAGCUGACAGGGUAUACAGCCACCUGCUGGCAGCUUCCAGUGAUUUCUAUAGGAGGAUGCUUUGAGUUAGUACCUAGCAACAGAGCUGACAAGGUGUACAGCCACUUAGCUGCGGUUAUACUAGAGGGAUUUUAAGCCCUCAGACACCUAUGGGCUUGCUAACUUGAGGCCAGCUUUCCACAAGAACUGGAUGCAAGGUCCUGCAACUCCUUUUCAGGAGGAGUGACUCUUGCUCCAAGCUUGCCAUACAGCGAAUAUCUUUACAAUACAGAACGCUGCCGCCUGGGCCGGCCUGCCGUGUAGCACGUGCCUUUUCAGGCAGGGUCACUACCAUCUGGGCCAUAGAUUCUUGUCCUGGUAUAACUGUUUCUCCCUUAAAUUGUGCUCUGCACCAUAUCUGUCCUAGACAUUCCUCUGACUACUACUGUGUAUCUCCCUGACGAUAUUUUGUUACCUUUCAGGCAUCACUCUAUUUACUUACUUUCCUUGGGUUAGUUUCUCUGUCAGUCCUGUCCCGUGCCUGCCAUUCUUUUCCGGUGUCUGUUUUCUUGUAAUUUGGGUCAUUUUGGGUGGCACUCUUCUUGUUAGUAUUAACCACAGCCUGUCUGCAGUCACUGGGAUUUUUUUCUCUUCAUCCUCCCCUCAGCUGUCCCCUCGCAUAUCUUUGACAUGUGCGCCCUGGCACCCAUGUUUCCAGAAUUGUAAAAACUCUGCCCCUCAACAGCCCCACUGUCAGUCCCAGGACAUUCAUCUUCCACAUUUCUCCCACCCUGGUGUUGUGAACAACGCUAGGCUUCCUGACAUUUAGACGUGAAGCUCAUGAAAUGUCGUCAGUCUGAGCUGUGCUUUAAUAUGAAACAUACACCAUCUUUCAAAGACUUUGUACCAAAAUGCAAAAUAUGUUGUCAACAAUUGUAUUAUUUUACCUACAUGUUGAAAUUGUAUUUUGGAAAUACUGGACCAAAUAAAAUAUGUCAAUAAAAUUAAUCUCUUUCUUUUUA